RNAcentral lists this ribosomal RNA (465 nucleotides) under uncultured bacterium. RNAcentral describes it as "partial 16S ribosomal RNA". It matches the Rfam family "Bacterial small subunit ribosomal RNA", at positions 339 to 795 of the family's 1533-position model. The record is from RNAcentral.
CUACGGGUCGCUGCAGUGAGGAAUUUUGCGCAAUGGGGGGAACCCUGACGCAGCAACGCCGUGUGAGUGAAGAAGGCCUUUGGGUCGUAAAGCUCUGUCAACUGGGAAGAAGUUACUAUGCUUAAAUAGAGUGUAGUAUUGACGGUACCAGUGGAGGAAGCGUCGGCUAACUCCGUGCCAGCAGCCGCGGUAACACGGGGGACGCAAGCGUUAUUCGGAAUUAUUGGGCGUAAAGGGCGCGUAGGCGGUCUUGUCGGUCAGGUGUGAAAGCCCGGGGCUCAACCCCGGACGUGCACUUGAAACAGCAAGACUUGAGUACGGGAGAGGAAAGCGGAAUUCCUGGUGUAGAGGUGAAAUUCGUAGAUAUCAGGAGGAACACCGAUGGCGAAGGCAGCUUUCUGGACCGAAACUGACGCUGAGGCGCGAAGGCGUGGGUAGCGAACGGGAUUAGAUACCCGAGUAGUC